RNAcentral lists this long non-coding RNA (213 nucleotides) under Elaeis guineensis (African oil palm). Its description in RNAcentral is "long non-coding RNA (EGUI_LNC082634)". Lineage: Eukaryota; Viridiplantae; Streptophyta; Magnoliopsida; Arecales; Arecaceae. The record is from RNAcentral.
CUUAGAACCCAUGCGGAUAUAGUUUUCAUAUAAUUCAUCCCCUUGACCAAAAUGAUCAUAGGAUACUCCAGAGUUCAACUGUCAACUCUGAUCAGGUUGUCCACAUUGUAUUUUAAAAUAUCAAAUCCAUCUGAUGGAUUAUCCUGAUCAAGGUUUUGCUAAAUUGAAAUACAGCGACUCAUUCUUCUCCAACUCUUGGAGUGGUCAAUCCCA